AGGUGACAUCUGUGAAAGUGUUGUUUGACUCCCACGAAAGGGACACAACCCACAGAAUUUCAGAGUUACAGCUAAGCAGCAAGAACGGCACAAAGUUUUUUCCUGCCCGCUCCAUCGAGAGACUCCAAAUGUUACGGCUUUUGUUCUCCCUCCUCUGUUUGACUGUCUGAGAAAACGCCGUAGACACAAUGGCUCUUCAGAAUGUAUUUCUUGAAAUCAAGGACACCCUAUUGCACAAGUGUGUUUUGGUCACUAAUCUCAAAAAGAUGCCUGCAGAAGAGCAGUAAACGAGCCAAAGACCGAGGCCUGUUUGUGUUUAUUUGGUUUCUUCUGCAAAGCGCUCUAACUGGAUGUGAUCACCGCUGUCCCACUGCCUUUGUGGCAGCUUCCAGUAAUGGUGUGCAGAUGUCAAAUGCGCCGUGUUUGGGCACCAGGUAGUUUCAUUCUAGUCUCAGUUGCAGAGAUGACUGGAUUAUCCUCAGGGUGUUUGUCUCCAAGAAGCCAGUUGACCUAAAAAGCAAGCACCACUCAACAAUGGAUACAUGCUAUAAAAAUACAGGAACAUUUACAGAGCUGUUGGCUCCAAGUAGGAACAUUUAAGAACUGGGUAAAGUUAUGGCUUCUUUUCUCUCCUUUUCUCCUUCGUUUAAGCAUGACAGUUAUGAGUCUCUUUCUCAGUUCACACCAUCUGACAUGGACAGCUAAGGAGACUGUGUCAAUAAAGCAGACCAUUUCAAAGAGUCUCGAGGCUGGUAACUUGGACUGGCGGUCCCAAGCUGUAAAUAAUACCCUGCCUAAGGGGUCCAGUACAUGGGUUCUGCUGAUCUCUUGGUGGCCACUAGG
Non-coding RNA from Mus caroli (Ryukyu mouse), 843 nucleotides. Lineage: Eukaryota; Metazoa; Chordata; Mammalia; Rodentia; Muridae. The record is from RefSeq and is a predicted model, not a curated record.